AUAGAGAGAGAGAGAGAGAGUCUUUGGUUUUUUUUUUUAAGAGAGAGAUAGCUAGUUAGCAUACUAUCUACUUCGUUUAUUUUAUUUAGAAAUAAAUUUAGCUGUAAAUAUGAGGAUUUGAACUUGGAACCUCGGGUAUCAACCAAAAAGCCUUUGCCACUUGCGCUAGGGACGGUCGGUGAGUCUGAUUAUUAUAUUAUUGAUAGUAUCAAAUAUUGGUGCUAUCAAGUUUUUCUGAGACACCCUAAUAAUUCCAUAUCGGAUGGGAAUAGAAUUGUGAUUGAGAAUAUAAGAGACAAUCCGCCUACUAGCAAUAAUAACUCGUUGGACCCAAAGUGGCAGCCCAAAAUGCUUAAGCUCAUUUAUUAUUAUCAGUGUCGAUGGUCUUUUAUAUAUAUCCAAUCACGUACUAUCCCAUGUUCAUCUGAUAUGAGACUAUUGGGAUGUCACAAACUCUCCUCAUUUAGGUUUUGACGUUCUCGUCAGUUCAAUCACAUGCACAAUCCAAGAUUUUCAUCUAAUGUGAGACUAUUGGAGUGUCAUGUCAGUUCAAUCGCACGCACAAUACAAGAUCAUCAGGCGGUGUGAGAUUUAUCUUGCUAGCCUUGGUAUUAGAGCCAGUCACCAACCGAAAGUGUGAGAUGAAUCUUGGCUGAGUCAUGGUCGAAAUUACAGACUAAGCUAGAAUUGAAAUGACAAGGUGACCAACUGAGUCAGGGUUGGAAUGACAAGACUAGCGAGACAAGUCUCAUAUUGUGUGGUGAUAUUGUGUUGUGUGUGCGAUUGGGCUGACGAGAACAUCAGAUUCUAAACAAGGAUAGUUUGUGACAUUCCAAACAUCAAAUAAAAAUGUAAUUGCGAUUGAGUAUAUCAGAGACCAUCGACCCUAAUGAUAAUAAUCGGGCUUAAGCAUUUUGGGCCGAUGGUUUGGAUCCAACAAGUUAUUAUUACUAGUUGACCGAGUCGUUAAAUUUCAGUCGUUAGAUAUACCCCUUUGACCAUUUCCAUCCAUUAGAUCAUAUUAUUCAACCAACCAUCAACUCAAUCCUAAAAAACUAUUAUCAUCUUAAUCAAGCACCACUAUCAUCCUGGCUGCACAUCCUUUCAUCCAAGUGUCAAAAAUCUAAUAGCACCAGGCCCUUACUACUAUUAACAGUAUAGUAGCCUAAUUCUAAAUAUAUAUAUAUAUAUAUAUAUAUAGAGCUAGGCUACUAUACUAUCGGUAGCACGGAGCGCUCCGUGCUACCAAGUUGUUUUCGAUGAUGUGGCUUCCAAAUCGACGAUCGGCUCCGUUAGAGUUGAUCUACACUAUUGAAAGUAUUUAGAAACUAAAUUUCAUAAUUUUUCGAUAUCAUUUACCUAUCAAACAAGUAGUCUAAAAUUGAACGGCUGAAAAUAAAAAUCUUAUAAAAAAUGAUGAUAAAAAAUUUAAAUUCAAGAUCAGAUAUACUGAUCUUAUUCUAAAUAAUGAAAAGAAUUUUCUAUAAAAUUUUCAUCGCAUUUGGAUUGUUUUACACCGUAGAGAGAGAGAGAGAGAGCAAGCUUGUUGGGCUACUAUCGAUAGUAAACGGCUCGGUUUACUAUUGAUUUAUUUUCAAUAAUAGAACUUCCAAAUCGACGAUCGGCAUCGUUGAACAUCGUUUAUACUACUUAAACUAUUUAGAAAUCAAAAUUUUAUUUUUUUGACAUCACUGACUUAAUAAUUAAAUGAUCACAAAAUUUAUAAUUUUAAUAGUCGAUAUGGUGUAUUUGCUCGUUUAACAGUAUAAAAGAGUUCAAUUUAGCUAAACUUUUGUUAAAAAAUUUUUAAACUAUUUAAAACAAGAUCUAGACUGUAGAUUUUAAAUACAAAAAUUAUAUCAUUACUUUUUGAAAGAUAUUAUUUUCAAUUAUUCAUUUUUUUCACUUGAUAGACAAGAGAACAAAAUCGAAAAAGUGUAAAAUUUAUUUUUCAGAUAGUUAAAUGGUUUAACCAUGUUCAAUGGUACGAUCGUCGAUUUGGAAGUUCUAUCAUCGAAAACAAAUCGUUAGUAAAUCAAACCGUUUACCACUAAUAGUAUUCUAGUAAAGCUCUAUAUAUGUGUAGAGAGAGAGAGAGAGAGAGUUAAGUUAAAAUACUAUUGCCAAUAAACGGGUUCUGUUACUAUCGAUUUGGUUUCAACGAUGAAGCCUCCAAAUCGACGAUUGACAUUGUUGAACGUAAUUAACACCACUUGAAAUAUCUAAAAUUUAAAUUUUCAAAUCUUUUAGGGUUGCAAAAUUUAUAAUUUUAAUGGUUGAUAAGAGAGGUUUGCUCGUUUAAUGAUGUAAACAAAUUUAAAUCAAUUGAAUUUUGAUUAGAAAUUUUUUAAAACUAUCUAAAACAAGAUUUGUACUCAUGAUCUUGACACCUCUUCUUGUUUCCUGUGAGUGCAUAUGCAAUUUCUAUACAUUUCCAAAGGAGAGGGCUUUACUUUAUCACAUAAUAAAUCAACACCCUCUCCAAAAAUGCUUGCAUAUAUAGUGUAAUUGUUACAACAAACGUACAAACGAAAACGAAAUGACGAACACAAAAUUAUCAAACCACAAGCAGAAAUAAAAGAGCACACAGAUUUACGUGAAAAAUCUUUUACAGGAAAAAAACCACGAGCGAGGGAGGAGAGAACCUCACUAUCAAAACGAAAGGGCAUACAAUGUUCUUCAGAUUUCAACCAAUCACGAUCACACGCCUCUAGGGCAAAAACGAAGAGAAAAAUUCAUAACGGGUUUCGGAUCCGAUCCGUACUGCGGGGAGCUCCG
RNAcentral lists this long non-coding RNA (2778 nucleotides) under Ananas comosus (pineapple). RNAcentral describes it as "long non-coding RNA (ACOM_LNC030198)". The record is from RNAcentral. Lineage: Eukaryota; Viridiplantae; Streptophyta; Magnoliopsida; Poales; Bromeliaceae.